CUGUUCCCUCUUCUGCCUUCUCCCAGCUGCCCGACCUCAUGACGGUUCAGUUGUCUGAAGGUACUUUGUUGUAAAUUGGAGUUAACUGGUGGGACGUGGCUGCUGCUCACACAGUCCUCUCUGGAACAUUCAAGCAGGAUCUGGGAGACUUGUUAAGCACAAGAAGGAAACCGGGACGCUUAUCUCUGCAGAAGACUAGGAUGGCCGCUUGUGGGUCGUGCUUCUGGUGCAUCGUGUGGCUGGUGGUCCUGCUGCUUAUUGGCUGGCCCAUCAGCAUCACCUUGGGGGGUCUCUACGGCCUAAUUAGCCCCCUCACUACCUGCCUGGGUUUGGACCGCCUCUCUGAUUUACUGCUGGAGGGAGCCAACGUGGGCCGGACCUGUGCCAACAACAUGAGACACGCCAAGCCUUUGUGCUGAGAAAUCGACACGGAUCAGAGCCGACGUCGGGGCCUUCACCUGAAGAGAGAACUUCCCUUUCAGAACUGUUCAUGUCUGUGUGUUUUUUUUUAAUAAGUUUCAAAAAGAUCUGAAAAAUGGUUUCCUCUCCGGCUGUUAACACAAGUAUUAACCUCAGAAUUCUCAUUUGUUUGGGUUUUUCAGGAGGAAAAUAGGCUUUGGGUUCACGGUCUGAGCUUGCUGUUUAAUUCAUGAUGACGCUGCGUGCAGAAGAUAAGCAGGAAAAUAGCUAUUUAACAAUAGACAUAUUUUGACUUUUAAAUGACUAUGGAAAGUUAUAAUACGAUUAAAAAUGCUUUUGAACUUGCCCUCGGUGUUUGUUGAUUGGUUGCCGGUGUGCAGCGCUCGGAUGCAAAUUCAUGCUGUGAAAUCUGGAGGUAAAUAAAGUCUGAACCGACUCGUUUUAAA
Long non-coding RNA from Oryzias melastigma (Indian medaka), 866 nucleotides. RefSeq lists it as uncharacterized. The record is from RefSeq and is a predicted model, not a curated record. The transcript is spliced from 2 exons. NCBI's taxonomy places the organism in Eukaryota, Metazoa, Chordata, Actinopteri, Beloniformes, Adrianichthyidae.